AUUGAACGCUGGCGGCAUGCCUUACACAUGCAAGUCGAACGGCAGCGGGGGAGAAGCUUGCUUUUCCUGCCGGCGAGUGGCGAACGGGUGAGUAAUACAUCGGAACGUGCCCUGUAGUGGGGGAUAACUAGUCGAAAGAUUAGCUAAUACCGCAUACGACCUGAGGGUGAAAGUGGGGGACCGUAAGGCCUCAUGCUAUAGGAACGGCCGAUGUCUGAUUAGCUAGUUGGUGGGGUAAAGGCCUACCAAGGCGACGAUCAGUAGCUGGUCUGAGAGGACGAUCAGCCACACUGGGACUGAGACACGGCCCAGACUCCUACGGGAGGCAGCAGUGGGGAAUUUUGGACAAUGGGCGAAAGCCUGAUCCAGCAAUGCCGCGUGUGUGAAGAAGGCCUUCGGGUUGUAAAGCACUUUUGUCCGGAAAGAAAUGGCUCUGGUUAAUACCUGGGGUCGAUGACGGUACCGGAAGAAUAAGGACCGGCUAACUACGUGCCAGCCGCCGCUGUAA
RNAcentral lists this ribosomal RNA (508 nucleotides) under uncultured bacterium. Its description in RNAcentral is "partial 16S ribosomal RNA". It matches the Rfam family "Bacterial small subunit ribosomal RNA", at positions 30 to 523 of the family's 1533-position model. The record is from RNAcentral.